AUUGAACGCUAGCGGGAUGCCUUACACAUGCAAGUCGAACGGAGUUGCGAACGGGUGAGUAAUGUAUCGGAACGUGCCCAGUAGCGGGGGAUAACUACGCGAAAGCGUAGCUAAUACCGCAUACUCUUGGAGCGGCCGAUAUCGGAUUAGCUAGUUGGUGGGGUAAAGGCUCACCAAGGCGACGAUCCGUAGCCUGGUUGAGAGUACGACCAGCCACACUGGGCAUGAGACACGGCCCAGACUCCGACGGGAGGCAGCAGUGGGGAAUUUUGGACAAUGGGGGAAACCCCUGUCCAGCCAUCCCGCGUGUGCGAUGAAGGCCUUCGGGUUGUAAAUCAAUUUUGGCAUGAAAGCGGUACCUGCAGAAUAAGCACCGGAGAACUACGUGCCAGCCGCCGCGGUAAUUC
This 407-nucleotide ribosomal RNA is filed under the name uncultured bacterium. Its description in RNAcentral is "partial 16S ribosomal RNA". It matches the Rfam family "Bacterial small subunit ribosomal RNA", at positions 30 to 526 of the family's 1533-position model. The record is from RNAcentral.